Molecule: small RNA, 1503 nt
Filed under: Vigna angularis var. angularis
Lineage: Eukaryota; Viridiplantae; Streptophyta; Magnoliopsida; Fabales; Fabaceae
Description: Non-protein coding transcript
Source: RNAcentral
AAAAAAUGACAGGUCAUUAUCUAAUACACUAGGACACAAGACGCAGGGAAAUCUACCAAGGUAACACAACAAACAAGGCAAUGAACAGUCCAAAUUUUCAACAGUCCUUAGCUCCUGAAGGAUUUACAUCUGACAACGCAUUAUCUUUGGGAGGACAUGGCGUAGGUGAAGCUUCUCUCAUUUUCAUGUCGCUUGAUUGUUGGUGCUGCUGUUCCCUCUGUUGUUGUUGCUGCUGCUGUUGCAACAUUUGUUGUUGAAGCUGCUGAAAUUGAUGCUGCUUCUGAGGAUGAAUUUGGAGUUGUUGAAACUGCUGUGCAGCUAAAAGGGUGUGCAUGGCAUGAUUAUUGGGAUAGAAUUGCUGCCCCCCUCCAAAAGAGGCAAAGUUCAGCAUAGGUCCUCCUCCAUUAGGUGGCAUAGCUUGUCCAGUCAGUAUUUUCAAAUGCUGAAUUUCCUCUUUUAAUGCGUCAUUUAGUGCUACAAGAAAAAGAUUCAAUUAAUUUUCUUGAUGUUAGAGAUAAACAAAAUAAAGAUUCCGUAUGCUCAAACUUACAGAUCAAAUUUCACGCAAGACAGUGAGUUUUUAAUCAUCAUACAGGGAACCACAAAUCCAACAACAAAAUUUAGAUACCAGCUAUAGACUAAAAUGCAAUUUCAUCCAAGACUACUAAUCCAUCGCCAACUAAGAUAUUACAUACAAAGAUCAUAUUGUUUAAUAUAGUUUACCAAAAUAUUUUCAAAGAUAGGUAUAGAAAAAAGCAAUGGAAGCAGCAGAUAUUUACAUACAAAGAUCAUCUUGUUUAAUAUAGUUCAGUAUUAGCUUUAGAGAAAUUUAAAAUUUUAUGAUCUUACCAUCUUGCAAGUGAACUUGUUGCUCCAUGGUUUGUAACCGCAGCUUCAGUUCACUGUUCUCAGAAUUCAAGCCAUUUGUAUCCCUCUGCAUAUAAUCAACAAUGAUGUGUAAAUUAUAAUCCUCCCAUUAGCUUUUCAAUUGGAAUGUGAAAUGGUAAUACAGUACUAAAACACGGUUUUGUCUAAAUAUAACAGGCAGAAAAGUCAUUACCUGCAAGAGACUUAAUUGUGCAGACAAAGAUGUUGCUUCCGUUUGCAACGUUUGUACCUUCCUUUCAAGCUCAGCAAUGUGCAGGAGAUACAAGUGAUAAUACAAAAUAGGUCCAGCAUCCGGGCGUUGCCAUAAAGACAACCGCAAAUGUCAAUUUACAACUAAAGGAAUAUGAGCAGACUCCGCAUAUCCUCUAAGGGUGUUUGAUGUGGCCCACUAGGCAGAGGGUCGAAAGGGCCAAAAACGUGACAUUUUAAACAGAGGAGUCAUAAUGCAAUUUUAGAAAGUAGCGUACUGUGGCAGUACUUCCAAAACAUGGUCUACUGUAUUGCAGAUUAGAGAUACAACCAACAGAAUGUUAGCAUUUUCCUUUUAAUAGACUGAAACAAACUGACACCUUUAAGCCUUCCUAUCACUAUUUCCUCUGAUACAUUGAGUUUAAU